Molecule: ribosomal RNA, 468 nt
Filed under: uncultured bacterium
Lineage: Bacteria
Description: partial 16S ribosomal RNA
Rfam family: Bacterial small subunit ribosomal RNA
Source: RNAcentral
GACGAACGCUGGCGGCGUGCUUAACACAUGCAAGUCGAACGGAAAGACCCUGCUUUUGUGGGGUGCUCCAGUGGCGAACGGGUGAGUAACACGUGAGUAACCUGCCCUUGACUUUGGGAUAACUUCAGGAAACUGGGGCUAAUACCGGAUAGGAGCUCCUGCUGCAUGGUGGGGGUUGGAAAGUUUCGGCGGUUGGGGAUGGACUCGCGGCUUAUCAGCUUGUUGGUGGGGUAGUGGCUUACCAAGGCUUUGACGGGUAGCCGGCCUGAGAGGGUGACCGGCCACAUUGGGACUGAGAUACGGCCCAGACUCCUACGGGAGGCAGCAGUGGGGAAUAUUGCACAAUGGGCGGAAGCCUGAUGCAGCAACGCCGCGUGCGGGAUGACGGCCUUCGGGUUGUAAACCGCUUUCGCCUGUGACGAAGCGUGAGUGACGGUAAUGGGUAAAGAAGCACCGGCUAACUACGUG